GAUGAACGCUGGCGGCGUGCCUAAUACAUGCAAGUCGAGCGAACGGACGAGAAGCUUGCUUCUCUGAUGUUAGCGGCGGACGGGUGAGUAACACGUGGAUAACCUACCUAUAAGACUGGGAUAACUUCGGGAAACCGGAGCUAAUACCGGAUAAUAUUUUGAACCGCAUGGUUCAAAAGUGAAAGACGGUCUUGCUGUCACUUAUCGAUGGAUCCGCGCUGCAUUAGCUAGUUGGUAAGGUAACGGCUUACCAAGGCAACGAUGCAUAGCCGACCUGAGAGGGUGAUCGGCCACACUGGAACUGAGACACGGUCCAGAGUCCUACGGGAGGCAGCAGUAGGGAAUCUUCCGCAAUGGGCGAAAGCCUGACGGAGCAACGCCGCGUGAGUGAUGAAGGUCUUCGGAUCGUAAAACUCUGUUAUUAGGGAAGAACAUAUGUGUAAGUAACUGUGCACAUCUUGACGGUACCUAAUCAGAAAGCCACGGCUAACUACGUG
This 497-nucleotide ribosomal RNA is filed under the name uncultured bacterium. RNAcentral describes it as "partial 16S ribosomal RNA". It matches the Rfam family "Bacterial small subunit ribosomal RNA", at positions 28 to 507 of the family's 1533-position model. The record is from RNAcentral.